RNAcentral lists this ribosomal RNA (497 nucleotides) under uncultured bacterium. RNAcentral describes it as "partial 16S ribosomal RNA". It matches the Rfam family "Bacterial small subunit ribosomal RNA", at positions 28 to 507 of the family's 1533-position model. The record is from RNAcentral.
GAUGAACGCUGGCGGCGUGCCUAAUACAUGCAAGUCGAGCGAACAGACGAGGAGCUUGCUCCUCUGACGUUAGCGGCGGACGGGUGAGUAACACGUUGAUAACCUACCUAUAAGACUGGGAUAACUUCGGGAAACCGGAGCUAAUACCGGAUAAUAUAUUGAACCUCAUGGUUCAAUAGUGAAAGACGGUUUUGCUGUCACUUAUAGAUGGAUCCGCGCCGCAUUAGCUAGUUGGUAAGGUAACGGCUUACCAAGGCAACGAUGCGUAGCCGACCUGAGAGGGUGGUCGGCCACACUGGAACUGAGACACGGUCCAGAAUCCUACGGGAGGCGGCAGUAGGGAAUCUUCCGCAAUGGGCGAAAGCUUGACGGAGCAACGCCGCGUGAGUGAUGAAGGUCUUCGGAUCGUAAAACUCUGUUAUUAGGGAAGAACAAAUGUGUAAGUAACUAUGCACGUCUUGACGGUACCUAAUCAGAAAGCCACGGCUAACUACGUG